RNAcentral lists this ribosomal RNA (482 nucleotides) under uncultured bacterium. RNAcentral describes it as "partial 16S ribosomal RNA". It matches the Rfam family "Bacterial small subunit ribosomal RNA", at positions 30 to 507 of the family's 1533-position model. The record is from RNAcentral.
AUUGAACGCUGGCGGCAUGCCUUACACAUGCAAGUCGAACGGUAACGGGCCUUCGGGUGCCGACGAGUGGCGAACGGGUGCGUAAUACAUCGGAACGUGCCCGAUCGUGGGGGAUAACGAGGCGAAAGCUUUGCUAAUACCUCAUACGAUCUACGGAUGAAAGCAGGGGACCGCAAGGCCUUGCGCGGACGGAGCGGCCGAUGGCAGAUUAGGUAGUUGGUGGGAUAAAAGCUUACCAAGCCGACGAUCUGUAGCUGGUCUGAGAGGAUGAUCAGCCACACUGGGACUGAGACACGGCCCAGACUCCUACGGGAGGCAGCAGUGGGGAAUUUUGGACAAUGGGCGCAAGCCUGAUCCAGCCAUGCCGCGUGCAGGAUGAAGGCCUUCGGGUUGUAAACUGCUUUUGUACGGAAAGAAAAGCCUUCUUUUAAUACAGGAGGGUCAUGACGGUACCGUAAGAAUAAGCACCGGCUAACUACGUG